Molecule: unclassified non-coding RNA, 245 nt
Filed under: plant metagenome
Description: partial contains small subunit ribosomal RNA, internal transcribed spacer 1, and 5.8S ribosomal RNA
Rfam family: Eukaryotic small subunit ribosomal RNA (bases 1-53)
Source: RNAcentral
GGAGUAAAAGUCGUAACAAGGUCUCCGUUGGUGAGCCAGCGGAGGGAUCAUUACAGGACUCGCAAGACUCCUUCACCCUGUGAACCUCACUACAAGCACGUUGCUUCGGCGGGUGUCCCGGCGGGGGUUUUCCCUCGCCGGGGCGCACAGCCCGCCGGCAGCCUACUAUACUCUGUCUCUUUGCGUUGGCAUCUCGAGAAAAAACAAACAAGUUAAAACUUUCAACAACGGAUCUCUUGGUUCUG